RNAcentral lists this unclassified non-coding RNA (711 nucleotides) under Patiria miniata (bat star). RNAcentral describes it as "uncharacterized LOC119743074, transcript variant X5". The record is from RNAcentral. Lineage: Eukaryota; Metazoa; Echinodermata; Asteroidea; Valvatida; Asterinidae.
ACGGGAGACGCAGGCAUCUCGUUAAAAAAAGAAGGAUGCCAGUUCAAUGAUGAAGCUGCGAACCUGCGACGAAGGCCGAGGUUUCGAAACAGCUUGCAUGUGAGGGACACAUGAGGGCAGCAUUCAACAACAUAAACACGCGACUCUUGAAAAUCUGGCGCUACGCCGUAUUCUUCCGAGUGGCUGAAAACUUUCUUAUUACUGUGUUUUUGGUCCAACGUAAUAACACCAAAAUGGAUGAGAAGCAGGGAGCAACUUCUGAUGAUGUCCCAACUGGGGAGGUAACGUCUACCACAGUUACGGAGGGUGAUGUUGUCAAGAUGCCAACAGAUGUGGCCAUCACUAUGGAUGCUAUUCCCAAUGAAGAUAAAGAGGACAAAUCCAAAGGUCUUGACCCACAAGAUAACCAUUCCACCAUCACCUCUGACGGACCGGUGACUGGCGCUGCCAUAACGGAUCCUUAUCACUGUCUGACACAACAGCACUUCACCUCAGAGAUCUUUAAGAUUGAGAUCCAAAACCUCCCAAGACAUUUUGGAUUUGCGGAAGAACCACAGUAGGAUGGCAUGUGAGUUGGAGCCAAUUAAGCCAUCGCUCCGUUCACAAGUACCCCUUCGCCUGGAUAUAAAGUGUGCACACAGAUAACACUGUUGGUUUCCGGCUUGGUGCUUACAAAGGUCUUGACCCACAAGAUGACCAUUCCACCAGCAC